GAUGAACGCUGGCGGCGUGCUUAACACAUGCAAGUCGAACGGGAAACAUUUUAUUGAAGCUUCGGCAGAUUUGGUUUGUUUCCAGUGGCGGACGGGUGAGUAACGCGUGGGUAACCUGCCUCACACUGGGGGAUAACAGUCAGAAAUGACUGCUAAUACCGCAUAAGCGCACGGGACCGCAUGGUUUUGUGUGAAAAACUCCGGUGGUGUGAGAUGGACCCGCGUUGGAUUAGCCAGUUGGCAGGGUAACGGCCUACCAAAGCGACGAUCCAUAGCCGGCCUGAGAGGGUGAACGGCCACAUUGGGACUGAGACACGGCCCAG
RNAcentral lists this ribosomal RNA (323 nucleotides) under uncultured bacterium. RNAcentral describes it as "bacterial SSU rRNA". It matches the Rfam family "Bacterial small subunit ribosomal RNA", at positions 28 to 334 of the family's 1533-position model. The record is from RNAcentral.